This 722-nucleotide ribosomal RNA is filed under the name uncultured bacterium. RNAcentral's name for it is "bacterial SSU rRNA". It matches the Rfam family "Bacterial small subunit ribosomal RNA", at positions 8 to 762 of the family's 1533-position model. The record is from RNAcentral.
AGAGUUUGAUUCUGGCUCANNNNNNNNNNUGGCGGCAGGCCUAAUACAUGCAAGUCGAACGCCGUAGCAAUACGGAGUGGCAGACGGGUGAGUAACGCGUGGGAACAUACCCUUUGGUUCGGAAUAACUCAGGGAAACUUGAGCUAAUACCGGAUACGUCCAAGGUUUUAAUCGGCCUUGGAGAAAGAUUUAUCGCCGAAGGAUUGGCCCGCGUCUGAUUAGCUUGUUGGUGAGGUAAUGGCUCACCAAGGCGACGAUCAGUAGCUGGUCUGAGAGGAUGAUCAGCCACAUUGGGACUGAGACACGGCCCAAACUCCUACGGGAGGCAGCAGUAGGGAAUAUUGGACAAUGGGCGAAAGCCUGAUCCAGCCAUGCCGCGUGAGUGAUGAAGGCCUUAGGGUUGUAAAGCUCUUUUACCCGGGAAGAUAAUGACGGUACCGGGAGAAUAAGCCCCGGCUAACUUCGUGCCAGCAGCCGCGGUAAUACGAAGGGGGCUAGCGUUGUUCGGAUUUACUGGGCGUAAAGCGCACGUAGGCGGAUUCUUAAGUCAGGGGUGAAAUCCCGAGGCUCAACCUCGGAACUGCCUUUGAUACUGGGGAUCUUGAGUCCGGGAGAGGUGAGUGGAACUGCGAGUGUAGAGGUGAAAUUCGUAGAUAUUCGCAAGAACACCAGUGGCGAAGGCGGCUCACUGGCCCGGUACUGACGCUGAGGUGCGAAAGCGU